This 119-nucleotide ribosomal RNA is filed under the name Lepisosteus oculatus (spotted gar). Lineage: Eukaryota; Metazoa; Chordata; Actinopteri; Semionotiformes; Lepisosteidae. The record is from RNAcentral.
UUUGGCAGCCAUAUCGACCUUCAGCUCACAACUGGCAGCCCACUGAAGCUCAGCAGGUGUGAGCCUGGUCAAUACCUGGAUGGGAGACCUCCUGGGAAAAACUAAGGUUGCUGCUGGAA